AUUGAACGCUGGCGGCAUGCCUUACACAUGCAAGUCGAACGGCAGCACGGGAGCUUGCUCCUGGUGGCGAGUGGCGAACGGGUGAGUAAUAUAUCGGAACGUACCCUAGAGUGGGGAUAACGCAGCGAAAGUUGCGCUAAUACCGCAUACGAUCUACGGAUGAAAGUGGGGGAUCGCAAGACCUCAUGCUCAUGGAGCGGCCGAUAUCUGAUUAGCUAGUUGGUGGGGUAAAGGCCUACCAAGGCAUCGAUCAGUAGCUGGUCUGAGAGGACGACCAGCCACACUGGAACUGAGACACGGUCCAGACUCCUACGGGAGGCAGCAGUGGGGAAUUUUUGGACAAUGGGGGGCGAACCCUGAUCCAGCAAUGCCGCGUGAGUGAAGAAGGCCU
Molecule: ribosomal RNA, 391 nt
Filed under: uncultured bacterium
Lineage: Bacteria
Description: bacterial SSU rRNA
Rfam family: Bacterial small subunit ribosomal RNA
Source: RNAcentral